Long non-coding RNA from Teleopsis dalmanni, 763 nucleotides. RefSeq lists it as uncharacterized. Lineage: Eukaryota; Metazoa; Arthropoda; Insecta; Diptera; Diopsidae. The record is from RefSeq and is a predicted model, not a curated record. The transcript is spliced from 4 exons.
GUGAGUGUUACUUGUUGUGUGUUAGGUGGUCGUGUUGUGUUUUGUAGGCAGCUAUACCCACGGCGUUGUAACGAUCGAAUUUUUAAUUAAUAAAAUUUUGGUGGUUACAAAUAUAUGGAGUCAUACUGUAGAUUCUGCGGUGAUGAGAUUAAUGAUCAAUUACACAUGUGCUGUUAGAAUGUCAAGCGCUAAUGCACUAACGGAAUAAACUCCUAGGAAUGUAUAUCCUUAUGGAAGAUGCAAUAAAUAUCUGUAAAAUCAGCCUAGCCUACGACAUCUGUAAAAAAUAAUCUCUCCAGAAGCAACGAAUAUGUUUUCUCCAGCAACUUAAGCAGACAACUUAAACAUGAUGUGUUUCUGCAGUGAUUAAGCAUAAUGUGCCACGGAAGGAUCUGCAGUUUUUUUUACCUUUUGGAAGUAAAAAAUCUAUAUCUUACUUGAGUUUUGGUCCCCGCAGAGCCCGCAAUAUUGUAUCAGAUACAUCGCAAACGUGGAACAAGUAGUAAAACAGGAAACGUUCCAUGUGUAAGGACCGAAAAUAUUAGACAAUAUUCCUAUGGCGCUAAUGGAGUUCGACAACAAACUUACAGUUUACAAAGCCAUUUUCAGUACAAGUUUACUGUUAGACGAUCCAUAAAAUGACAAAGUCAAUUCAUCAAAGAAUAUAAAGAAGUUAAAAUCAGUUCAUAUUUCACUUGCUAUUUAUGAAGACAAUAAAGUUUGCUAUAUGGGAUGGAGAUUAUAAACGUACAUUCACUGUAAA